ACCGCUCUCUCUGUUCUAGCUGUCGUGGUCCUCCAUCUCUCUUCCAGGCUCAUCCAGCCAAUACUAAGUUGUUCAGAGGUUCUAUUGAUUUACCUGAAGGAGGACCCAUGGGGAUUCCUAAAAUGACCUGUGACUGGCUAUCCUGGAUUCAGAGAUUCUCAAUAACGAUCAUUUCAUAUGCACCGUACUGUGCGUUUUCACGAAAGGUUCCAACGUUGUGUUUGAAUGCGCUCGUGUAUUCGAGUCAAUCUUCUCUUUGCAUUUACAGCACUGCAUGUCUGAGGAGUUUGCCAAUGGUCUUGUCUCUGCCUUGCGCCGGCACAAAUAGGUUAAGCAAAGUAAGCGAAUUGCGUGUGCAGCGAGGGACUCGAGAGUUGCGCCUCGUAUAGGCGCCCAUCUGUUGGGUCACAAGUAUGGAGGGCGAGUGGUUACUGGGGAGAAAUUGAGCAGGCUGCUGAAUGUUUUAUGGCAAGGCUAGUGAGAAAAGUGCCAUCUCUGCAAAACUAGGUUCAGUGUGAAAACGUGGGCAUGGGGCCGUUCUGCUCUGCAACCUCGAAAUCAUAAAUGAUUGAUGUAUUUGCAUGUCACCUGCCUUUUUUCCCGUCUGUCUGAUUCCUCUCUCUGUCCCCCCUCCCUCUCUCUUUCUUUUGUGCAGAUGUGGGUCCUAGAUGUAGAGAGCCUUCUCAGUUCGAUGGCCAGGCAACUGAGUGCCUCUCUGGAAAAAUAUCCCCGGCAAGAGCUUGCGAAUGGCACAAAUCCUUCCCCCUCUUCAUCCUUCCCUCUUCCCCCUCAAGGCCCAGGAAGGUUUACCCCCUGUUGUCAAGCCCUUUCAGACCGGCAGCUCUAGAUUGACCUUCAGACUGAAGGACUUUCUGUGGAUCAAAGCAAGUUAAAACCGACACUCAACCAGCCUGUAUCAUCUCCUGAUUUGGAACGUUUCUCAACAUAAUGGACGGUGUUAUACAUGAUUAACCUAUCUAGAUGGCCGCCCUGACCAUAGAAAUGUCACCACAGGUGAUUAUGCCCAAAGCCAAGUUCUUAAAUUACAACAUUGGCCCCGCCUCCCCAUGUGCUGAAAUGCAGAGGGAGGCAUGGCAAUGGAUAACCUUGUCAGACACAAGCAUGCAAGGUGGAACAAAUGUAACGAAAUCGUUCAUAGCUGGGUGUGUCCUCCUCCUUGAUGAAGAGUUGUUUACGACAUUCAGGAGAGGUGUGAUCCUGUUUAGACACUAAUGUACUGAGACUUUCUAAGAAAUAAAGAACGAUACGUUAAACAAAAAAAAUAAGUUCACACCCUUCAUUGGAUUAAGUGUUCCUACUUGAUCCCUUCCCUGACAUAAUAAAGAACUGGUUUGGAUGA
Osmerus eperlanus (European smelt) is the source of this 1360-nucleotide long non-coding RNA. RefSeq lists it as uncharacterized. NCBI's taxonomy places the organism in Eukaryota, Metazoa, Chordata, Actinopteri, Osmeriformes, Osmeridae. The record is from RefSeq and is a predicted model, not a curated record. The transcript has 2 exons.